Molecule: ribosomal RNA, 468 nt
Filed under: uncultured bacterium
Lineage: Bacteria
Description: partial 16S ribosomal RNA
Rfam family: Bacterial small subunit ribosomal RNA
Source: RNAcentral
GACGAACGCUGGCGGCGUGCUUAACACAUGCAAGUCGAACGGAAAGGCCCUGCUUUUGUGGGGUGCUCGAGUGGCGAAAGGGUGAGUAACACGUGAGUAACCUGCCCUUGACUUUGGGAUAACUUCAGGAAACUGGGGCUAAUACCGGAUAGGAGCUCCUGCUGCAUGGUGGGGGUUGGAAAGUUUCGGCGGUUGGGGAUGGACUCGCGGCUUAUCAGCUUGUUGGUGGGGUAGUGGCUUACCAAGGCUUUGACGGGUAGCCGGCCUGAGAGGGUGACCGGCCACAUUGGGACUGAGAUACGGCCCAGACUCCUACGGGAGGCAGCAGUGGGGAAUAUUGCGCAAUGGGCGGAAGCCUGAUGCAGCAACGCCGCGUGCGGGAUGACGGCCUUCGGGUUGUAAACCGCUUUCGCCUGUGACGAAGCGUGAGUGACGGUAAUGGGUAAAGAAGCACCGGCUAACUACGUG